GAUGAAGAACGCAGCGAAAUGCGAUAAGUAAUGUGAAUUGCAGAAUUCAGUGAAUCAUCGAAUCUUUGAACGCACAUUGCGCCCCCUGGUAUUCCGGGGGGCAUGCUUGUUCGAGCGUCAUUUCACCACUCAAGCCUCGCUUGGUAUUGGGCAACGCGGUCCGCCGCGUGCCUCAAAUCGACCGGCUGGGUCUUCUGUCCCCUAAGCGUUGUGGAAACUAUUCGCUAAAGGGUGUUCGGGAGGCUACGCCGUAAAACAACCCCAUUUCUAAGGUUGACCUCGGAUCAGGUAGGGAUACCCGCUGAACUUAAGCAUAUCAAUAAGCGGAGGA
RNAcentral lists this unclassified non-coding RNA (331 nucleotides) under soil metagenome. Its description in RNAcentral is "partial contains 5.8S ribosomal RNA, internal transcribed spacer 2, and large subunit ribosomal RNA". The stretch from base 1 to 120 matches the Rfam family "5.8S ribosomal RNA", at positions 35 to 154 of the family's 154-position model. The record is from RNAcentral.